GUCUCCCUACGGGGGGCAGCAGUGGGGAAUAUUGCACAAUGGGGGAAACCCUGAUGCAGCGACGCCGCGUGAGUGAAGAAGUAUCUCGGUACGUAAAGCUCUAUCAGCAGGAAAGAAAAUGACGGUACCUGACUAAGAAGCCCCGGCUAACUACGUGUCAGCAGCCGCGGUAAUACGUAGGGGGCAAGCGUUAUCCGGAUUUACUGGGUGUAAAGGGGGCGCAGACGGCAGCGCAAGCCAGGAGUGAAAGCCCGGGGCCCAACCCCGGGACUGCUCUUGGAACUGCGCGGCUGGAGUGCAGGAGG
RNAcentral lists this ribosomal RNA (305 nucleotides) under uncultured bacterium. RNAcentral describes it as "bacterial SSU rRNA". It matches the Rfam family "Bacterial small subunit ribosomal RNA", at positions 333 to 655 of the family's 1533-position model. The record is from RNAcentral.